Non-coding RNA from Oryctolagus cuniculus (rabbit), 1105 nucleotides. Lineage: Eukaryota; Metazoa; Chordata; Mammalia; Lagomorpha; Leporidae. The record is from RefSeq and is a predicted model, not a curated record.
GUUUUACUUCUCCGUUGGCUUCGUACCCUCUGGGAAAGGGAAGGGCGUGAUUUGCUGAGGCUGUUCACCUAGAACAGGACAGAUGGCUGCCAUGGCCAGGGCUGGGCCAGUUCUAAACCAGGAGCCAGGAGCUUCAACCAGUUAUGUGCAGAAUAAGUGACCACCUCGGCUUCCAAGGAACACAGCACUGCUCUGCAGAACCCUGGAGAACAUCCCCAGAAUGCUGCACAGUGCUCUGCUUCAUUCCUAUCUUCCUAAACGCCUCACAGCCUGGAGGAUCACCAUUAGUUCCUUGAACAAACAAAACAUCCCUUUGGACAAACAAAUCAAAAUGCAGAAUAUCCAGCAAAGAACCUGAAAUGCAAGAAGAUGGCCAUUGGAUGAAUGAGCCUGGGUCUCUGAGUGACAUACUGGAGCAGAGCUCUUCCUCCUAGCUAAGUAAAAUUAGACUGGGAUUGAAGGAAAGAAACAAAUCUUUGCUUUGCUCAGUCACUGAGAUUUUUGGAGGAUGAUUUUGUAAAUGAACCCCUUGAAUUAUACAAAGUUACAUCUUGGAAAAGAAGUAAUGAGAACAAGCAGCACUUCUCAUAAUGUGAUCUCUAUGCUAAUUGUUAUGUUCCUUAGCUUUGUUAUUCAACCCCUGAUUUUUAAGAGUAUACCCAGGGUUGCCGGCACCUUGGCUCACUAGGCUAAUCCUCCACCUUGCAGCGCCGGCACACCGGGUUCUAGUCCCGGUCGGGGCACCAGAUUCUGUCCCGGUUGCCCCUCUUCCAGGCCAGCUCUCUGCUAUGGCCCGGGAGUGCAGUGGAGGAUGGCCCAAGUGCUUGGGCCCUGCACCCCAUGGGAGACCAGGAUAAGUACCUGGCUCCUGCCAUCGGAUCAGUGCGGUGUGCCGGCCACAGCGCGCCAGCCGUGGCGGCCAUUGGAGGGUGAACCAACGGCAAAAGGAAGACCUUUCUCUCUGUCUCUCUCUCUCUCUCACUGUCCACUCUGGCUGUCAAAAAAAAAAAAAAAAAAGAGUAUACCCAGGGGUCAUUCAUAUUUAGGGGGAAGAACAUUCAUUAUCCAAAUAAACAAGAUAUAUAUAUAUAUAUAUAUAUAUAUA